RNAcentral lists this long non-coding RNA (1389 nucleotides) under Pan troglodytes (chimpanzee). RNAcentral describes it as "long non-coding RNA NONPTRT016148". The record is from RNAcentral. Lineage: Eukaryota; Metazoa; Chordata; Mammalia; Primates; Hominidae.
GUUUUCUCAACAUAAAUCUGCUAUAAUUAAAAAUUACAGGCCUUCGGGAAGUGUCGAGUCCGGGACGCCCAGCGCGGGCCGGAGCAGGGGGAAGGGAAGCGCAGCUCGGUCCGCGUGGGUGGAGGGGACGUGAAGCCGCCCUGAGGUGAUGGUCGAGGAAGGGCUCUACGGCUCCCAAGCUAGGCCAAAUGCCUCCGGCGGCCGCGCCCGGGCGCCCCUUCCCCUGUGGGGCAACCCUAGCCGGGGACGCGUGAACCACCUCCGUAGCUGCCCCACCAGCACCCCCAGCCAUGCGCCCCUGCACCAUGCAGCUGCCCUGCGCAUGGAGCCGCGAGGGACAGCAGGCCCAGCCCUCAGCACCACCUGCCUGCCAGGAGGUUCGGGAAACUGGCGCCGCAGCGGAGAGGGCAUUGGUCCAACGCCUCCCCCGGGGCUCAGCUGCGGACCCCCAGGCAUAGGCACCCAUGACCCUUCUGUGUUGUUUGUCUUUGUAUAGUCUGCAGAUGUGGAUCCUGACUCCUGAGAGAAGUAGCUCACCGUGACGAAGCUGCCUUUGCUUUUAUCGAUUUGCAAAUCAAAGAAGGGGGACAUAUUGGGAGAAGGCCCCCCAAAAUCUGGCCAUAAACUGGCCACAAAACUGGCCAUAAAAUCUCUGCAGCACUGUGACAUGCUCAUGAUGGCCAUAACGCCCACGCUGGAAGGUUUUGGGUUUACCGGAAUGAAGGCAAGGAACACCUGGCCUGCCCAGGGCAGAAAACCACUUGAAGGCAUUCUUAAACCACAAACAGUAGCAUGAGCGAUCUGUGCCUUAAGGGCAUGUUCCUGCUGCAGAUAACUAGCCAGACCCACCCCUUUAUUUCAGGCCAUCCCUUCAUUUCCCAUAAGGGAUACUUUUAGUUAAUUGAAUAUCUAUAGAAACAAUGCUAAUGACUGGUUUGCUGUUAAUAAAUACGUGGGUAAAUCUCUGUUCGGGGCUCUCAGCUCUGAAGGCUGUGAGACCCCUGAUUUCCCACUUUACACCUCUGUAUUUCUGUGUGUGUGUCUUUAAUUCCUCUAGCACCACUGGGUUAGGGUCUCCCCGACUGAGCUGGUCUCGGCACUUCUCUUUGCCUUGAAAGCAGGUACAGCGGACCUUCCUGGCAUCAGAAAAAGGCCUCCAGAAAAAGAGACACAGGGUUAUGGACUUUCAGAGCCAGAAGAAGGUCAUCUCUCCUUUGCUUCUCGUAUGCUGGGAUCUGCCACAUCAAUGGCAACAGCUGGGCCUCCAGAAUUUGCUCCAGGGUGUUUGGAAGUCCUGACACCCCCCUGAUCUUCUCUGUAACAUGCACACUUUGACCUGUGUCAGUUUACUGGAACCACAUCAGGCUGGCCCUCUUCCUAGGACAAAAU